AUGACCAAGUUACCUUCAGUUCUUCUUGGAGAACCUUGCAGACUGGAGAAGGAGGUAAAACAAGAAAUGGAAAGACUGCAACUUACUGUUGGAAAACAUAAUGUCAUUGAUCAGUACUGCUUAGUGGAGAUGAAAAGUUUGCAAGCCCGUAUUCUUGAAACUAGCACAUCCAUCCUCAUUCAAUACACUGCUGUCUUGACUUACAUUGGCCACUGUCUGGUGCUUCUCAACUACAGCGAAGAAGAGAAAAUUGACUGUAUCACACUGUUCAGCUUAGAAACUGGAAUGGUGGGUAUUGUGUUUUGUAAGCUUAAAUGCACUGUUCACAUUGAAAAGCGGCUGCUAGAUGUGAUAUUUAUAAAAAUAACUGAGAGUUUAGAGUGCAGAUAUUUGCAUGAAAGUGCUCAGAAUUGA
This 414-nucleotide long non-coding RNA is filed under the name Anas platyrhynchos platyrhynchos (common mallard). RNAcentral describes it as "lncRNA (ENSAPLG00000021189.1)". Lineage: Eukaryota; Metazoa; Chordata; Aves; Anseriformes; Anatidae. The record is from RNAcentral.